This 739-nucleotide ribosomal RNA is filed under the name uncultured archaeon. Its description in RNAcentral is "bacterial SSU rRNA". It matches the Rfam family "Archaeal small subunit ribosomal RNA", at positions 66 to 812 of the family's 1478-position model. The record is from RNAcentral.
AUUGUAGUAUACAAGGCAUACGGCUCAGUGACGCGUAGUCAACCUAACCUAUGGACGGGAAUAACCUCGGGAAACUGAGAAUAAUGCCCGAUAGAACACUAUACCUGGAAUGGUUUGUGUUCCAAAUGAUUUAUCGCCAUAGGAUGGGACUGCGGCCUAUCAGUUUGUUGGUGAGGUAAUGGCCCACCAAGACUAUUACAGGUACGGGCUCUGAGAGGAGUAGCCCGGAGAUGGGUACUGAGACACGGACCCAGGCCCUAUGGGGCGCAGCAGGCGAGAAAACUUUGCAAUGUGCGAAAGCACGACAAGGUUAAUCCGAGUGAUUUGUGCUAAACGAAUCUUUUGUUAGUCCUAGAAACACUAACGAAUAAGGGGUGGGCAAGUUCUGGUGUCAGCCGCCGCGGUAAAACCAGCACCUCAAGUGGUCAGGAUGAUUAUUGGGCCUAAAGCAUCCGUAGCCGGCUCUGUAAGUUUUCGGUUAAAUCUGUACGCUUAACGUACAGGCUGCCGGGAAUACUGCAGAGCUAGGGAGUGGGAGAGGUAGACGGUACUCGGUAGGAAGUGGUAAAAUGCUUUGAUCUAUCGAUGACCACCUGUGGCGAACGCGGUCUACCAGAACACGUCCGACGGUGAGGGAUGAAGCUGGGGGAGCAAACCCGGAUUAGAUACCCUGGUUAGUCCCAGCUGUAAACUAUGCAAACUCAGUGGAAUGCCAUACUGCUGUCCAAUGCAGUGACAU